GACGAACGCUGGCGGCGUGCUUAACACAUGCAAGUCGAACGGAAAGGCCCUGCUUUUGUGGGGUGCUCGAGUGGCGAACGGGUGAGUAACACGUGAGUAACCUGCCCUUGACUUUGGGAUAACUUCAGGAAACUGGGGCUAAUACCGGAUAGGAGCUCCUGCUGCAUGGUGGGGGUUGGAAAGUUUCUGCGGUUGGGGAUGGACUCGCGGCUUAUCAGCUUGUUGGUGGGGUAGUGGCUUACCAAGGCUUUGACGGGUAGCCGGCCUGAGAGGGUGACCGGCCACAUCGAGACUGGGAUACGGCCCAGAAGCAACGGGAGGCAGCAGUGGAGAAUAUUGCACAACAGGCGGAAGACUGAUGCAGCAACGCCGCGUGCGGGAUAACGGCCUUCGGGUUGUAAACCGCUUUCGCCUGUGACGAAGCGUGAGUGACGGUAAUGGGUAAAGAAGCACCGGCUAACUACGUG
This 467-nucleotide ribosomal RNA is filed under the name uncultured bacterium. RNAcentral's name for it is "partial 16S ribosomal RNA". It matches the Rfam family "Bacterial small subunit ribosomal RNA", at positions 28 to 507 of the family's 1533-position model. The record is from RNAcentral.